This 484-nucleotide ribosomal RNA is filed under the name uncultured bacterium. RNAcentral's name for it is "partial 16S ribosomal RNA". It matches the Rfam family "Bacterial small subunit ribosomal RNA", at positions 28 to 523 of the family's 1533-position model. The record is from RNAcentral.
GAUGAACGCUGGCGGCGUGCUUAACACAUGCAAGUCGAACGGUGAAAGCGGAGCUUGCUCUGGUGAAUUAGUGGCGAACGGGUGAGUAACACGUGAGUAACCUGCCCUUGACUCUGGGAUAACUGCGGGAAACUGUAGCUAAUACCGGAUACGACCCUCGGAGGCAUCUCCUGGGGGUGGAAAGAAUUUCGGUCAAGGAUGGACUCGCGGCCUAUCAGCUAGUUGGUGAGGUAAAGGCUCACCAAGGCGACGACGGGUAGCCGGCCUGAGAGGGUGACCGGCCACACUGGGACUGAGACACGGCCCAGACUCCUACGGGAGGCAGCAGUGGGGAAUAUUGCACAAUGGGCGCAAGCCUGAUGCAGCAACGCCGCGUGAGGGAUGACGGCCUUCGGGUUGUAAACCUCUUUUAGCAGGGAAGAAGCUAAAGUGACGGUACCUGCAGAAAAAGCACCGGCUAACUACGUGCCAGCCGCCGCCGUAA